CAGUCGAGCGAGCUUGCCUAGAUGAUUUUAGUGCUUGCACUAAAUGAAACUAGAUACAAGCGAGCGGCGGACGGGUGAGUAACACGUGGGUAACCUGCCCAAGAGACUGGGAUAACACCUGGAAACAGAUGCUAAUACCGGAUAACAACACUAGACGCAUGUCUAGAGUUUGAAAGAUGGUUCUGCUAUCACUCUUGGAUGGACCUGCGGUGCAUUAGCUAGUUGGUAAGGUAACGGCUUACCAAGGCAAUGAUGCAUAGCCGAGUUGAGAGACUGAUCGGCCACAUUGGGACUGAGACACGGCCCAAACUCCUACGGGAGGCAGCAGUAGGGAAUCUUCCACAAUGGACGAAAGUCUGAUGGAGCAACGCCGCGUGAGUGAAGAAGGGUUUCGGCUCGUAAAGCUCUGUUGGUAGUGAAGAAAGAUAGAGGUAGUAACUGGCCUUUAUUUGACGGUAAUUACUUAGAAAGUCACGGCUAACUACGUGCCAGCAGCCGCGGUAAUACGUAGGUGGCAAGCGUUGUCCGGAUUUAUUGGGCGUAAAGCGAGUGCAGGCGGUUCAAUAAGUCUGAUGUGAAAGCCUUCGGCUCAACCGGAGAAUUGCAUCAGAAACUGUUGAACUUGAGUGCAGAAGAGGAGAGUGGAACUCCAUGUGUAGCGGUGGAAUGCGUAGAUAUAUGGAAGAACACCAGUGGCGAAGGCGGCUCUCUGGUCUGCAACUGACGCUGAGGCUCGAAAGCAUGGGUAGCGAACAGGAUUAGAUACCCUGGUAGUCCAUGCCG
This 783-nucleotide ribosomal RNA is filed under the name uncultured bacterium. Its description in RNAcentral is "bacterial SSU rRNA". It matches the Rfam family "Bacterial small subunit ribosomal RNA", at positions 59 to 802 of the family's 1533-position model. The record is from RNAcentral.